CAACAAAAUGUAAUUGUAGAUGCACAGGCUUGGUUCACUGACACUGAAAAUACAAAUCUGAUUGUACCUUCCACAAACACUUCCUGUGCUGGUGAAAGUACAAUAAAUAUUGCAAAUGCUCUAAUUGACUUACAUCACAGUCAUAGUCCGCGAUUUAUAAAUAGCCAGAAAGGAAAACCUCUGUUAUUUUAUAACAUGUUUUUAUAUAGAAUUGAUCACCAUAAAGAUUUGAUUAGUUAUUAUAGGUGUAGAAAUAUUAGUUGCAAAGGAAGAUGCAAAUAUGAUGGUAUUUAUACGAUGACUUGUGGGCAUUCUCAUCAACAUGAGACAUAUAUAUACGAAAAACUUAGGACUAAAGAGGUGAUUGAAAUUCUAGUGGCCGAAAAUCCUCUGGAAUCAAGAUUGACAAUUUAUAAUAAGGCAAUGCAGAUUAGAUGCUCGGAGUGCUUGGAUAUUGCAGAAUAUCCAGAGGCUAUUCCAUCAUUUGUAUCCUUCAAAACCACAAUUGAUAGGAUAUUAAAAAAGUAUCGACCUGUGUUACCUUAUGCU
This is a long non-coding RNA of Gordionus sp. m RMFG-2023, 549 nucleotides long. RefSeq lists it as uncharacterized. The record is from RefSeq and is a predicted model, not a curated record. NCBI's taxonomy places the organism in Eukaryota, Metazoa, Nematomorpha, Gordioida, Chordodea, Parachordodidae. The transcript is spliced from 3 exons.